Long non-coding RNA from Phascolarctos cinereus (koala), 250 nucleotides. RefSeq lists it as uncharacterized. The record is from RefSeq and is a predicted model, not a curated record. Lineage: Eukaryota; Metazoa; Chordata; Mammalia; Diprotodontia; Phascolarctidae.
CCCCCACCGCCACGUCACCUGAGAGAUCCCAGAAAUUCCUGCACUUUCCUGCGUGGCUGUGUGUGAGGGAGGGAAAAAAAUUGAGCACUACUGAUUGAUGCCUGUGGAAAAGGUGUGCAAUGUGUAACACCUGUGGACCUCUCACGUCCUGAAGAGGCCCUGGACAGGCCAGUUCGGUGGUGCAAUGGAUGGAACACUGGGCUUGGAGCCAGGAAGAUCUGGGUUCAGUUCUGAGCCUAGGUACUUACUA